This 292-nucleotide ribosomal RNA is filed under the name uncultured bacterium. Its description in RNAcentral is "partial 16S ribosomal RNA". It matches the Rfam family "Bacterial small subunit ribosomal RNA", at positions 505 to 796 of the family's 1533-position model. The record is from RNAcentral.
GUGCCAGCAGCCGCGGUAAUACGUAGGAUCCAAGCGUUGUCCGGAUUUACUGGGUGUAAAGGGUGCGCAGGCGGACUGAUAAGUCAGAGGUGAAAUCCCAUCGCUCAACGAUGGACCUGCCUUUGAUACUGUUGGUCUUGAAUUAGGGAGAGAUUCGUGGAAUUCCGAGUGUAGCAGUGAAAUGUGUAGAUAUUCGGAAGAACACCAGUGGCGAAGGCAGCGAAUUGGCCCUAUAUUGACGCUCAGGCACGAAAGCAUGGGGAUCAAACAGGAUUAGAUACCCUGGUAGUCC